GCCCCUGUGGCGGAAUUGGUAGACGCGGCAGACUCAAAAUCUGUUGGUUUUUGACUGUGGGAGUUCGAGUCUCCCCGGGGGCACCA
Molecule: transfer RNA, 86 nt
Filed under: Alphaproteobacteria bacterium
Lineage: Bacteria; Pseudomonadati; Pseudomonadota; Alphaproteobacteria
Also listed under: 2 other names
Description: tRNA-Leu
Rfam family: tRNA
About the family: Transfer RNA (tRNA) molecules are approximately 80 nucleotides in length. Their secondary structure includes four short double-helical elements and three loops (D, anti-codon, and T loops). Further hydrogen bonds mediate the characteristic L-shaped molecular structure. tRNAs have two regions of fundamental functional importance: the anti-codon, which is responsible for specific mRNA codon recognition, and the 3' end, to which the tRNAs corresponding amino acid is attached (by aminoacyl-tRNA synthetases). tRNAs cope with the degeneracy of the genetic code in two manners: having more than one tRNA (with a specific anti-codon) for a particular amino acid; and 'wobble' base-pairing, i.e. permitting non-standard base-pairing at the 3rd anti-codon position.
Source: RNAcentral